This is a long non-coding RNA of Mercenaria mercenaria, 1990 nucleotides long. RefSeq lists it as uncharacterized. Lineage: Eukaryota; Metazoa; Mollusca; Bivalvia; Venerida; Veneridae. The transcript has 3 exons. The record is from RefSeq and is a predicted model, not a curated record.
UCCAUACAAACAUUAAUGUUUUUAAGUUCUCUUUCUUUCCAUACACCGUUACCCUAUGGAAUCAGCUGCCACCCCUGAUCGUUAAUCAGCCUGAUCCUGAACAUUUCAGACAUGCUGUUAACGCAUCCCACUACUAUUAAGUGACUACACCCUGUUUUAUCCUGAUUUUACUCUUGUUAAUACAGUUUUAUCUUGCACUAUCUUCCUUUUGACAUCUUACUGUCAUUCUUUUAACUUUAUUCUGGCACAGACGCGCACCUGCUAGUUAUACCCGAAAGGGGCGUCAAGCAGUAUACAUACAUACAUACAUACAUACAUAACAGCCAGGAAAUUGGCCUGUUUACUUUAAGAUCCCAAGAAAAUGUAACAUAUUUUGGAUGUGCUUUGAGGAAUCAGGAAUGCAAGUGUUUCCUCUUGUUUAUGAAGCAACUCAGUUGGUUAAGGGGCAGACAACUUGUGAGCAUGGUACAUCACUACCUGUAUUGGUAUUCCAUUUUGACAAUGUUGCUAGCUAGAAUAGAAAUAACAUCUUGCUGUGGUACAGUCUGUGGAGACUUUUACUAGGAUAUCACAGAUCGAUUGAAUAUUCAACAAUGAUCACAGACCAUGCAAAGUUUGAAUCUGACUUGCACUUUUGAAUUUAGAAGAAUCUGUGGAGGAGGGUGAAUGCUGAGACCUUUAAUAAUACAUGAUAUUGCUGACACAGUGUGUCAGACAUGAAAGAGGGCCGUAACACUGCACAGUUGGUCAACAAAGAUUUAAAUCCUGUCACAUUCUACCAGUGGAGAAAUAUCUUAUCACAAUAUUUUAAACUUUUGAAGAAGAUAACCAAGUAUUACCACUUUAUCAUGUCUGCAGAAACACCUGGAUUGUUAGUGUUAAAAGUGACAGUCCAGUUAACUUACUAAAAUCUACUCCCCCUUGCUAAACGAAUAUUAUUGACAAGGAAUGACACAAGCCUGACAAUGGUACCUGUAUGAACUCAUAAGAGAAAAGUAUUUGUCUGAAAAGUCAAAGGAUUCUGUUUGUCCCAGACCACUUCAACUGAAAACUGAAAUUGUGAUUGGCGAGGAUUUUUCUGAGAACUGAAAAAAAGGAAGUGAAUGUAAAAGAUAGAAAUUGUUGUUGAAUUCAAAUCUUUUAAUACACAACACUUGGGCCUGUUUUGCUGUUCAUAUAGAUGUGUUUAGCUGUUAAGGUUAAACAUCAAGUAAAGGUUGUAGUUUCAGUUACCUACAUUAAAGUAUUGGCUGGAAAUAAAUAUUUACUUUUCAUCAGAGUUUGUAGCAGUGUAACCUUCAUCAAAGGUUAAGCUGUUUUGUUAAUUAUUAAAGUAUUUUUAGAAAAAGGAAUUUAGUAUGUAUGUUGCCAUGGUAACAUAAUUCUUAUAUUUCAUUGAAAUUAUGGAUUUGUAUUUCAAUAAGGGAUCUACAGUAUAUAAUGUAAUGGUAAAAGAAUGUUCACUUUUUUGUAUUGUCAGUUAUAACUAGCCAGUGAAAAAAACAGAUUAUGAGGAAAGGGAUGACUGAAAUGUUUAUUCUUACAUAACUACUUUUAUUACAGAACAUGGCUGUUUUAAAGUUUUUAUGUGAAAUUUUCAGAUUUCUUUCCUGAAUACUUAUACUUUCAAAUAUUUAACUUAUUAGAAAUACUUUUUUAAAAUAAGCUCUUGCUUUUAAGUAUUAUUGUAGGAAAAGGGAAUUUAAAACAUAUGUCACCAUGGUAACGCAAUUUUCCUAGAAAAUAUAGAAAAAUUUUAAUUAGCUGUACUUUCUAGUAUUCUACUUUAAAAUAAGCAUAAACAAUAAAAAAAUCAAUAGUAAUAUAUGUUCCAUUUAUUUCAAAAUAGUUAUUUAUUACCACCAGGUAGAAGGCAAGUUAUGAAGAAACAAUGACAGAAAUGUCUUAUUCUUAAAGUAAUAAAACAAAACAUUUAAAUUUUUUAACAUGAAAUUUUGAGAUUGUAUUCAAAAAUAUUUUUGAAUACAUA